AGGACGAACGCUGGCGGCGUGCUUAACACAUGCAAGUCACGGGGGUUCAGGGGCAACUCUGGGCAACCGGCGAACGGGUGCGUAACACGUGAGCAACCUACCUCGAUGCGGGGGAUAGCCGGCCCAACGGCCGGGUAAUACCGCAUACGAUUCUCGAGGGGAGUCCCUUGGGAAGGAAACCUCCGGGGCAUUGAGAGGGGCUCGCGGCCUAUCAGCUAGUUGGCGGUGUAACGGACCACCAAGGCGACGACGGGUAGCUGGUCUGAGAGGAUGGCCAGCCACAUUGGGACUGAGAGACGGCCCAGACUCCUACGGGAGGCAGCAGUGGGGAAUCUUGCCCAAUGGACGAAAAGUCUGAGGCAGCAACUCCGCGUGAGGGGAUGAAGGCUCGUCGGUCGGUAAAACCUCUUUUCUCAGGGAAGAUCCAAGACGGUACCUGAGGAAUAAGCGACGGCUAACUACGUGCCAGCAGCCGC
RNAcentral lists this ribosomal RNA (476 nucleotides) under uncultured bacterium. RNAcentral describes it as "SSU rRNA". It matches the Rfam family "Bacterial small subunit ribosomal RNA", at positions 26 to 518 of the family's 1533-position model. The record is from RNAcentral.